RNAcentral lists this small RNA (1586 nucleotides) under Rattus norvegicus (Norway rat). Its description in RNAcentral is "uncharacterized LOC102547637". Lineage: Eukaryota; Metazoa; Chordata; Mammalia; Rodentia; Muridae. The record is from RNAcentral.
AGGACAUCGGGUUGGAUUUUACCCUCUUAGCUAUCUUGUCUCCCUCUCCCUAUUACUUGCUUACAGACCAGAUCUGACUAAAUUGCCCAGGCCGGCCUCAGACUUUUGACCCUCUGCGUCAGCUUCCCAAGUAGCUGCGGCUCCUCUAAGAAUUCUUCCUUCCGUGCCAGCAAACGCAACUGCACGCUUUCGUUAUUUUGUGUGAUAACAUUUUCCAGUUGGAUCUAAUUAAAUCCCACAGAUUGAAUCCCGCACUACAGUACGGUCUGGGGAUAGAAUGCGUCCCUCGCUGUUACUCGAGGCCGGUGAUGUGAGAGUAACUUGACUGGCAGGGAAGUCAAAGAUGUUAGGAGGGAGCGACCGCCCGAAGAGCAGAAAGAGAACGGAGACAAAGGGCCUUCUCAGAGCAGGGGCGUCGCCGAGAUCGUUAUUUCCAGGAGGCUGGCUUGGUUCCCUCACACCCUGACGCAUAUCCAGAUGGCUGGAGCUCCGAGUAGAUGCUAGUGGAGUAGGUUUGAAUGGACAACCUGUGGCAGGACAGAUGCCCAAUCCACUGGUGGCUGAGCUCUUUGUGCAAAGCUCUUUGCACCUCGCUCCUUCUGGUGAUACCCCCCUCUCUGAUAUCAAAAGUUCUAAUUCUUCCGAGUCAUUCAUGGAAUCAUCCCUUCGGAAUGGAUUGUGGAGGAGGUAUGCCAGUCACCUGGAGGAUUCUCUGUGGAGGGACAAUUUGGGAGAAAAGUCCAGGGCUCUGACUUCCCUGCUCCUGUUUGCAGAGAGCCCCCAUCAGCAAUCGUUUCUCAGUAUGGAUCUAAAGGCCAGAGAUGGACUCUGCUUCAGGAAGGUUCUCUCCUCCUUCUCCAGGUUACCCAAGAACACUCAGAAGUGCUGACUUCUUUUGUUUUGGGACAGUAUCCCUCACUGGCCUGGAACUCGCCAAGUAGGCUGGUGAGCAAGCCCAGCGAUCCUCCUGUCUCUGCCUCUCCAGCACCUGGAUUACAAAUGAAGGCUCCUACAUGUGAUGUAUGUCUCUCUCUCUCUCUCUUUCUCUCUCUCUCUCUCUCUCUCUCUCUCUCUCUCUCUCUCUCUCUCUCUCUCUCUCUCUCUGUCCUCUUUUGUUCUGCCAUUCUGUUCUUUGUUUUAUCCCAAAACAGGACCUCACUCUGCCUUGGCUGGCCAGGAACCUCUGCGUAGUCAAGCCUGCUCUCAAACUUGCAACAUUUUUUCACCUUGGACUCUGGGGUUAAGGGUGUGAGCCGUCCCAGCCCUACCUAACCGCACCGGUUGCUUUUGUGUCUUUUUCAUGAGGAGACACCUGGCAAGAGAGCUCACUUCGCUCAUUAGUCUCCCUGUGUUUUUACUUGGAAAUCCUGUGGGAAGUGUGCCUUCCUUUGUACACGAGAAUCUACUGCUUUCUCCUGCAACACCAGCAGGCCUGUUAGAAUGAAUGCAGCACACAUCAAUCUGGGAGAAGGGAAGUUGGGGAGGGAAGGAGUUUACCAGGCUCUCAAAACAAUUCCCCAUGCCUGAAUUCUUCAUUCCCGACCCCUGGAAGAAAUGUUAAGUAAACGUUGAGCAUCUGGUUUACA